Long non-coding RNA from Diprion similis, 748 nucleotides. RefSeq lists it as uncharacterized. The transcript is spliced from 4 exons. The record is from RefSeq and is a predicted model, not a curated record. NCBI's taxonomy places the organism in Eukaryota, Metazoa, Arthropoda, Insecta, Hymenoptera, Diprionidae.
UGCAAAUAAAUUAUCAAAAUGAUAAUAAAUUGUAUUCUGCUUUGUAAAAUGAUCACCGCUCUUCGGCUAUGUAAGACGAAUUGUGAUAGUUGACAUAUGAAUUCUUAUUUCCAAAAUACAUAAUACUAUAUUAAUACUAUCGCGGCGAAAGACCCACGUAUACACUCGCAUACGCAUUUAAUAUGAACAUAGCAAACGACGAAGAAGUAAGUGAGAAAGAUAAAGAUAAAGAAAGUGAGAGUGAGCGAGAGACGGAAAAGUAAUUUUCGAUGUAAAAUACACAUUAUAUUAUAAUAUAAAUACUAUGGGACUAUAUCGUGCGUGCGCAUGUAUCGAAAAUGCAGACAGGCACAAUGUAAUAGUGUGCGUAUAAUCUGCGCACAUGUCUCUGCACGUCGUACAUGCAUAUGUGUGAGGGGAUUGUAUAUCGUCACAUGUGUGUGCGUGUAUUUUGUGUGUGUGCGUGUAUAGAGUGGUAUGCGAAUAUCUGCGUAUGUAUACAUACGGUUAUUGCAUAAUUAUUAUGUACCCAGUGUGUAUGUAUGCAUACGCAAACGGGGGCGCAUGCGUAUGUCAUCGCCUGCUCGUCAAAUCACCGAUCAAUUGUGUACUGGACUGAUUUAUCUAUCAUUCGGCUUAUCAUUCGAUAGAUUUUAACGAUGAUGAUCAUGAUGAUAAACAAAAAAGGAAAUGAUGUUAUGGUGGUCUAUGUUAGAGAGAUAGGACGAGCGUCGUGAAGGGAAACAGU